Molecule: ribosomal RNA, 404 nt
Filed under: uncultured bacterium
Lineage: Bacteria
Description: bacterial SSU rRNA
Rfam family: Bacterial small subunit ribosomal RNA
Source: RNAcentral
GUCGGAUUACUGGGCUUAAAGAGUUCGUAGGUGGUUGAAAAAGUUGGUGGUGAAAUCCCAGAGCUUAACUCUGGAACUGCCAUCAAAACUUUUCAGCUAGAGUUUGAUAGAGGAAAGCAGAAUUUCUAGUGUAGAGGUGAAAUUCGUAGAUAUUAGAAAGAGUACCAAAUGCGAAGGCAGCUUUCUGGAUCAUUACUGACACUGAGGAACGAAAGCAUGGGUAGCGAAGAGGAUUAGAUACCCUCGUAGUCCAUGCCGUAAACGAUGUGUGUUAGACGUUGGAAAUUUAUUUUCAGUGUCGCAGCGAAAGCAAUAAACACACCGCCUGGGGAGUACGACCGCAAGGUUAAAACUCAAAUGAAUUGACGGGGACCCGCACAAGUAGUGGAGCAUGUGGUUUAAUU